Molecule: transfer RNA, 64 nt
Filed under: Pliocardia ponderosa
Lineage: Eukaryota; Metazoa; Mollusca; Bivalvia; Venerida; Vesicomyidae
Description: tRNA-Leu
Source: RNAcentral
AUUAAGGUGGCAGAUAAUAUGCAUUAGAUUUAAAACCUAAAGAUGAGUAAGUAUUCUCUUAAUA